This 427-nucleotide ribosomal RNA is filed under the name uncultured bacterium. Its description in RNAcentral is "bacterial SSU rRNA". It matches the Rfam family "Bacterial small subunit ribosomal RNA", at positions 355 to 774 of the family's 1533-position model. The record is from RNAcentral.
UGGGGAAUUUUGGACAAUGGGCGCAAGCCUGAUCCAGCAAUGCCGCGUGCAGGAUGAAGGCCUUCGGGUUGUAAACUGCUUUUGUACGGAACGAAAAAGCUCUCUCUAAUACAGGGGGUGAAUGACGGUACCGUAAGAAUAAGCACCGGCUAACUACGUGCCAGCAGCCGCGGUAAUACGUAGGGUGCGAGCGUUAAUCGGAAUUACUGGGCGUAAAGCGUGCGCAGGCGGUUUUGUAAGACAGAGGUGAAAUCCCCGGGCUCAACCUGGGAACUGCCCCUGUGACUGCAAGGCUGGAGUGCGGCAGAGGGGGAUGGAAUUCCGCGUGUAGCAGUCAAAUGCGUAGAUAUGCGGAGGAACACCGAUGGCGAAGGCAAUCCCCUGGGCCUGCACUGACGCUCAUGCACGAAAGCGUGGGGAGCAAACA